ACUGAGUAACAACCGCCGCGGUAAUACGGGGGGAGCAAGCGUUGUUCGGAUUUACUGGGCGUAAAGGGCGCGUNGGCGGCCACCGCAAGUCGACUGUGAAAUCUCCGGGCUUANCUCGGCNAGGUCAGCCGAUACUGCGGNGCUAGAGUGCAGAAGGGGCAACUGGAAUUCUCGGUGUAGCGGNGAAAAUGNGUAGAUAUCGAUGAGGAACACCUG
This 216-nucleotide ribosomal RNA is filed under the name unidentified eubacterium 95R6. RNAcentral's name for it is "partial 16S ribosomal RNA". It matches the Rfam family "Bacterial small subunit ribosomal RNA", at positions 500 to 712 of the family's 1533-position model. The record is from RNAcentral.